RNAcentral lists this long non-coding RNA (930 nucleotides) under Homo sapiens (human). RNAcentral's name for it is "non-protein coding lnc-OR10D3-1:1". Lineage: Eukaryota; Metazoa; Chordata; Mammalia; Primates; Hominidae. The record is from RNAcentral.
AUGGUAAAAGGAAAUCAUUCCACGGUGACUGAAUUUAAUCUCGCUGGGCUAACAGACAAACCAGAGCUCCAGCUGCCUCUUUUCCUCCUCUUCCUGGGAAUCUAUGUGGUCACAGUGGUGGGCAACCUGAGCAUGAUCACUCUAAUAGGGUUCAGUUCUCACCUGCACACCCCCAUGUACCAUUUCCUCAGCAGUCUGUCCUUCAUUGAUCUCUGCCAGUCUUCUGUCAUUACCCCAAAAAUGCUGGUGAAUUUUGUGUCAGAGAGGAAUAUUAUCUCCUACCCAGCAUGCAUGACUCAGCUCUACUUCUUCCUUGUUCUUGUCAUAUCUGAAUGUCACAUGUUGGCUGCAAUGGCUUAUGACCACUACAUUGCCAUAUGUAACCCACUGCUUUACCAUGUCGCCAUGUCUUAUCAGGUCUGCUCCUGGAUGGUAGUUGAGGUGUAUUUUAUGGGCUUUAUUGGUGCUACGUGCUCACACAGUCUGCAUGCUAAGAGUGCUUUUCUGUAAGGCUGAUGUAAUCAACCAUUACUUCUGUGAUCUUUUCCCACUACUGGAGCUCUCCCGCUCCAGUAUUUCUAUCAAUGAAAUAGUAGUUUGUGCUUCAGUGCAUUUAAUAUCCUUUUCCGCAGCCUCACCAUCCUUAGCUCUUACAUCUUCAUCGUUGCCAGCAUCCUCUGCAUUCGCUCCACUGAGGGCAGGUCCAAAACCUUCAGCACUUGCAGCUCCCACAUCUCGGCUGUUUCUGUUUUCUUUGGGUCUGCAGCAUUCAUGUACCUGCAGCCAUCAUCCGUCAGCUCCAUGGACCAGGGGAGUGUCUUCUGUGUUUUAUGCUACUGUUGUGCCCAUGCUGAACCCCCAAUCUACAGCCUGAGGAAUAAAGAUGUCAAAGUUGCCUUAAUUAAGUUCCUUGAAAAAAGAAGUUUCCUG